GAUCCUGGCUCAGAGCGAACGCUGGGGCAGGCUUAACACAUGCAAGUCGAACGGGCACUUCGGUGCUAGUGGCAGACGGGUGAGUAACACGUGGGAACGUACCUUUCGGUUCGGAAUAAUCCAGGGAAACUUGGACUAAUACCGGAUACGCCCUUCGGGGGAAAGAUUUAUCGCCGAUAGAUCGGCCNGCGUCUGAUUAGCUAGUUGGUGAGGUAAUGGCUCACCAAGGCGACGAUCAGUAGCUGGUCUGAGAGGAUGAUCAGCCACAUUGGGACUGAGACACGGCCCAAACUCCUACGGGAGGCAGCAGUGGGGAAUAUUGGACAAUGGGCGCAAGCCUGAUCCAGCCAUGCCGCGUGAGUGAUGAAGGCCUUAGGGUUGUAAAGCUCUUUUGUCCGGGAAGAUAAUGACUGUACCGGAAGAAUAAGCCCCGGCUAACUUCGUGCCAGCAGCCGCGGUAAUACGAAGGGGGCUAGCGUUGCUCGGAAUCACUGGGCGUAAAGGGCGCGUAGGCGGACUCUUAAGUCGGGGGUGAAAGCCCAGGGCUCAACCCUGGAAUUGCCUUCGAUACUGAGAGUCUUGAGUUCGGAAGAGGUUGGUGGAACUGCGAGUGUA
Molecule: ribosomal RNA, 615 nt
Filed under: alpha proteobacterium MBRG 4.22
Lineage: Bacteria; Pseudomonadati; Pseudomonadota; Alphaproteobacteria
Description: bacterial SSU rRNA
Rfam family: Bacterial small subunit ribosomal RNA
Source: RNAcentral